UACGAAGGGGGCUAGCGUUGCUCGGAAUCACUGGGCGUAAAGCGCACGUAGGCGGCUUCUUAAGUCAGGGGUGAAAUCCUGGAGCUCAACUCCAGAACUGCCCUUGAUACUGAGGAGCUCGAGUCCGGAAGAGGUGAGUGGAACUCCGAGUGUAGAGGUGAAAUUCGUAGAUAUUCGGAAGAACACCAGUGGCGAAGGCGGCUCACUGGUCCGGUACUGACGCUGAGGUGCGAAAGCGUGGGGAGCAAACGGG
This 253-nucleotide ribosomal RNA is filed under the name uncultured bacterium. RNAcentral describes it as "partial 16S ribosomal RNA". It matches the Rfam family "Bacterial small subunit ribosomal RNA", at positions 524 to 776 of the family's 1533-position model. The record is from RNAcentral.